Molecule: ribosomal RNA, 519 nt
Filed under: uncultured bacterium
Lineage: Bacteria
Description: bacterial SSU rRNA
Rfam family: Bacterial small subunit ribosomal RNA
Source: RNAcentral
AGAGUUGAUCUGGCUCAGAACGAACGCUGGCGGCGCGUCUUAAGCAUGCAAGUCGAACGGCAAGAGGUAGCAAUACCUCCUAGAGUGGCGGACUGGUGAGUAACACGUGGGUGACAUACCCUUCAGAUGGGGAUAGCUAUUAGAAAUAGUAGAUAAUACCGAAUACGAGCACAGGGGUUAGAGAUCUGUGAGGAAAGGAGCUAAGGCUCCGCUGAAGGAAUGGCCUGCGGCCCAUUAGCUAGUUGGUGAGGUAAGAGCCCACCAAGGCGAUGAUGGGUAUCCGGCCUUAGAGGGUGAACGGACACAUUGGGACUGAGAUACGGCCCAGACUCCUACGGGAGGCAGCAGCUAAGAAUAUUCCGCAAUGGACGAAAGUCUGACGGAGCGACGCCGCGUGGAUGAAGAAGGCCGGAAGGUUGUAAAAUCCUUUUGAAACUGAAGAAUAAGCGUUGUAGGGAAUGAUAGCGUGGUGACAGUAGGUUUUGAAUAAGCAACGGCUAAUUACGUGCCAGCCGCCGC